CAGCAUGCUAUCCUAAGGAUCUGAGCUAGUUUGUGGCUUAUGGUUCUCCAAGUGCGUGCAAGAACAUUGGGUGGUCUUUGACUGCUGAGGCACAUCUCUGCCUCCAGCGGCCACUCAGCCGUCCUACAGAU
This is a small nucleolar RNA of Girardinichthys multiradiatus, 131 nucleotides long. RefSeq annotates it as small nucleolar RNA SNORA44. The record is from RefSeq and is a predicted model, not a curated record. NCBI's taxonomy places the organism in Eukaryota, Metazoa, Chordata, Actinopteri, Cyprinodontiformes, Goodeidae. The transcript has a single exon.